AACUCUCCAGAAGAAGGUCAUUCGGUUCAUAUUAAUUUUGAAGAACUUUCUAUUGCAAUGCAAACCAUUUGAUGUAAAUUGUAAACUAAUUAUGAUAUAUUUUAGUUUUGAAAUUUUGAAUUUAAGAAAUAAAGUACUUGCAAUAAGUGCAAUUUUUUCCCCAUCUUUCGUUGUGUUCAUUCAAUUAUUACAAAGUAUUAAUAUAACUUAAUAUUUAUACUAUACGUAAUUCCAAAAAAAAAAAACCC
This 248-nucleotide long non-coding RNA is filed under the name Nicotiana benthamiana. RNAcentral describes it as "long non-coding RNA (NBEN_LNC026820)". Lineage: Eukaryota; Viridiplantae; Streptophyta; Magnoliopsida; Solanales; Solanaceae. The record is from RNAcentral.